GCUUAAAUGACUUAUAUUUAGAGUAUAACAUUGAAGAUGUUAGUGAGAUUAUUAAUCUUUAGGUA
RNAcentral lists this transfer RNA (65 nucleotides) under Malaccina discoidalis. RNAcentral describes it as "tRNA-Phe". Lineage: Eukaryota; Metazoa; Arthropoda; Insecta; Blattodea; Blattellidae. The record is from RNAcentral.